GAAUAUUGGUCAAUGGACGAGAGUCUGAACCAGCCAAGUAGCGUGAAGGAUGACUGCCCUAUGGGUUGUAAACUUCUUUUAUAUGGGAAUAAAGUAUUCCACGUGUGGGAUUUUGUAUGUACCAUAUGAAUAAGGAUCGGCUAACUCCGUGCCAGCAGCCGCGGUAAUACGGAGGAUCCGAGCGUUAUCCGGAUUUAUUGGGUUUAAAGGGAGCGUAGGUGGAUUGUUAAGUCAGUUGUGAAAGUUUGCGGCUCAACCGUAAAAUUGCAGUUGAAACUGGCAGUCUUGAGUACAGUAGAGGUGGGCGGAAUUCGUGGUGUAGCGGUGAAAUGCUUAGAUAUCACGAAGAACUCCGAUUGCGAAGGCAGCUCACUAGACUGCAACUGACACUGAUGCUCGAAAGUGUGGGUAUCAAACAGGAUUAGAUACCCUGGUAGUCCACACAGUAAACGAUGAAUACUCGCUGUUUGCGAUAUACAGUAAGCGGCCAAGCGAAAGCGUUAAGUAUUCCACCUGGGGAGUACGCCGGCAACGGUGAAACUCAAAGGAAUUGACGGGGGCCCGCACAAGCGGAGGAACAUGUGGUUUAAUUCGAUGAUACGCGAGGAACCUUACCCGGGCUUAAAUUGCAGAUGAAUUACGGUGAAAGCCGUAAGCCGCAAGGCAUCUGUGAAGGUGCUGCAUGGUUGUCGUCAGCUCGUGCCGUGAGGUGUCGGCUUAAGUGCCAUAACGAGCGCAACCCUUGUUGUCAGUUACUAACAGGUUUUGCUGAGGACUCUGACAAGACUGCCAUCGUAAGAUGUGAGGAAGGUGGGGAUGACGUCAAAUCAGCACGGCCCUUACGUCCGGGGCUACACACGUGUUACAAUGGGGGGUACAGAGGGCCGCUACCACGCGAGUGGAUGCCAAUCCCAAAAACCUCUCUCAGUUCGGACUGGAGUCUGCAACCCGACUCCACGAAGCUGGAUUCGCUAGUAAUCGCGCAUCAGCCACGGCGCGGUGAAUACGUUCCCG
RNAcentral lists this ribosomal RNA (1014 nucleotides) under uncultured bacterium. RNAcentral describes it as "bacterial SSU rRNA". It matches the Rfam family "Bacterial small subunit ribosomal RNA", at positions 359 to 1376 of the family's 1533-position model. The record is from RNAcentral.